Molecule: ribosomal RNA, 956 nt
Filed under: uncultured bacterium
Lineage: Bacteria
Description: bacterial SSU rRNA
Rfam family: Bacterial small subunit ribosomal RNA
Source: RNAcentral
GCUUUUCUUCUUCAGCGGGCUUACCAUGCAGUCGCGUGCGCAGUUGCCGUACAAUACGGUGAUGGGCGCACGGCGCACGGGAGCGUAACACGUGGGCAAUCUGCCCUCCGAUGGGGAAUAACCCCGCGAAAGCGGGGCUAAUUCCGCAUAACAUUCCUUGGACUUAGGUUUGAGGAUUCAAAGCAGCAAUGCGUCGGAGGAGGAGCCCGCGCCCGAUUAGCUAGUUGGUGAGGUAACGGCUCACCAAGGCAAUGAUCGGUAGCUGGUCUGAGAGGAUGAUCAGCCACACUGGAACUGAGACACGGUCCAGACUCCUACGGGAGGCAGCAGUGGGGAAUCUCGCACAAUGGGCGAAAGCCUGAUGCAGCGACGCCGCGUGGGGGAUGAAGCUUCUCGGAGUGUAAACCCCUUUCGACUGGGACGAAUGCCCGCAAGGGAGUGACGGUACCAGUAGAAGAAGCCCCGGCUAACUACGUGCCAGCAGCCGCGGUAAGACGUAGGGGGCCAGCGUUGUUCGGAAUUACUGGGUGUAAAGGGUUCGUAGGCGGUGUGGCAAGUUGGGAGUGAAAUCUCUGGGCUCAACCCAGAGGCUGCUUCCAAAACUGCUGUGCUUGAGUGUGGGAGAGGCGCGUGGAAUUGCAGGUGUAGCGGUGAAAUGCGUAGAUAUCUGCAGGAACACCCGUGGCGAAAGCGGCGCGCUGGACCACAACUGACGCUGAGGAACGAAAGCUAGGGGAGCAAACAGGAUUAGAUACCCUGGUAGUCCUAGCCCUAAACGAUCAGGACUUGGGGUGCCGCCCGUUCGGGCGUCGUCCCGGAGCUAACGCGUUAAGUCCUGCACCUGGGGAGUACGGUCGCAGACUGAACUCAAAGGAAUUGACGGGGCCCGCACAGCGGUGACCAUGUGGAUCAUCGAUGCCUACGCGAGAUCUUUAACCUUGGCUUUCGGAAAAAAG